GACGAACGCUGGCGGCGUGCCUAAUACAUGCGAGUCGAACGAGAGCGACCGGUGCUUGCACUGGUCAAUCUAGUGGCGAACGGGUGAGUAACACGUGGGUAACCUGCUCAUCAGAGGGGGAUAACAUCCGGAAACGGAUGCUAAAACCGCAUAGGUCUUCGAGCCGCAUGGCUUGAAGAGGAAAAGAGGCGCAAGCUUCUGCUGAUGGAUGGACCCGCGGUGCAUUAGCUAGUUGGUGAGGUAACGGCUCACCAAGGCCGUGAUGCAUAGCCGACCUGAGAGGGUGAUCGGCCACAUUGGGACUGAGACACGGCCCAAACUCCUACGGGAGGCAGCAGUAGGGAAUCUUCCGCAAUGGACGCAAGUCUGACGGAGCAACGCCGCGUGAGUGAAGAAGGUUUUCGGAUCGUAAAACUCUGUUGUUAGAGAAGAACAAGUGCUAGAGUAACUGUUAGCGCCUUGACGGUAUCUAACCAGAAAGCCACGGCUAACUACGUG
Molecule: ribosomal RNA, 498 nt
Filed under: uncultured bacterium
Lineage: Bacteria
Description: partial 16S ribosomal RNA
Rfam family: Bacterial small subunit ribosomal RNA
Source: RNAcentral